This 234-nucleotide long non-coding RNA is filed under the name Coffea arabica (coffee). Its description in RNAcentral is "long non-coding RNA (CARA_LNC007674)". The record is from RNAcentral. Lineage: Eukaryota; Viridiplantae; Streptophyta; Magnoliopsida; Gentianales; Rubiaceae.
GUUGAGAACCAACGCGAGACUCUAAAGGUGACACACCCCCCCCCCCAAAUGCAAUGCCAAGCGCGAGAUAAUCAAAUAAAACAUACAUCCAAACAAACAAUCAUACAUACAUGAGCGAGGGGGUAGUUGAAUGCAUACGUGAGACAAAAGGUCCUAAAAAUGGAAGAUGCAACCCUAAUAUCCAAAUGCAAUGCAUAAUAAGGGUAGAAAAUGGAAAAGAAUGGCUAAAUCAAA